RNAcentral lists this ribosomal RNA (372 nucleotides) under Enterobacteriaceae bacterium. Its description in RNAcentral is "bacterial SSU rRNA". It matches the Rfam family "Bacterial small subunit ribosomal RNA", at positions 383 to 747 of the family's 1533-position model. The record is from RNAcentral. Lineage: Bacteria; Pseudomonadati; Pseudomonadota; Gammaproteobacteria; Enterobacterales; Enterobacteriaceae.
CUGAUGCAGCCAUGCCGCGUGUAUGAAGAAGGCCUUCGGGUUGUAAAGUACUUUCAGCGGGGAGGAAGGGAGUAAAGUUAAUACCUUUGCUCAUUGACGUUACCCGCAGAAGAAGCACCGGCUAACUCCGUGCCAGCAGCCGCGGUAAUACGGAGGGUGCAAGCGUUAAUCGGAAUUACUGGGCGUAAAGCGCACGCAGGCGGUUUGUUAAGUCAGAUGUGAAAUCCCCGGGCUCAACCUGGGAACUGCAUCUGAUACUGGCAAGCUUGAGUCUCGUAGAGGGGGGUAGAAUUCCAGGUGUAGCGGUGAAAUGCGUAGAGAUCUGGAGGAAUACCGGUGGCGAAGGCGGCCCCCUGGACGAAGACUGACGCU